GGGAAUAUUGCACAAUGGGCGCAAGCCUGAUGCAGCCAUGCCGCGUGUAUGAAGAAGGCCUUCGGGUUGUAAAGUACUUUCAGCGGGGAGGAAGGGAGUAAAGUUAAUACCUUUGCUCAUUGACGUUACCCGCAGAAGAAGCACCGGCUAACUCCGUGCCAGCAGCCGCGGUAAUACGGAGGGUGCAAGCGUUAAUCGGAAUUACUGGGCGUAAAGCGCACGCAGGCGGUUUGUUAAGUCAGAUGUGAAAUCCCCGGGCUCAACCUGGGAACUGCAUCUGAUACUGGCAAGCUUGAGUCUCGUAGAGGGGGGUAGAAUUCCAGGUGUAGCGGUGAAAUGCGUAGAGAUCUGGAGGAAUACCGGUGGCGAAGGCGGCCCCCUGGACGAAGACUGACGCUCAGGUGCGAAAGCGUGGGGAG
This 419-nucleotide ribosomal RNA is filed under the name Pseudomonas graminis. RNAcentral's name for it is "bacterial SSU rRNA". It matches the Rfam family "Bacterial small subunit ribosomal RNA", at positions 357 to 768 of the family's 1533-position model. The record is from RNAcentral. Lineage: Bacteria; Pseudomonadati; Pseudomonadota; Gammaproteobacteria; Pseudomonadales; Pseudomonadaceae.